RNAcentral lists this ribosomal RNA (468 nucleotides) under uncultured bacterium. Its description in RNAcentral is "partial 16S ribosomal RNA". It matches the Rfam family "Bacterial small subunit ribosomal RNA", at positions 28 to 507 of the family's 1533-position model. The record is from RNAcentral.
GACGAACGCUGGCGGCGUGCUUAACACAUGCAAGUCGAACGGAAAGGCCCUGCUUUUGUGGGGUGCUCGAGUGGCGAACGGGUGAGUAACACGUGAGUAACCUGCCCUUGACUUUGGGAUAACUUCAGGAAACUGGGGCUAAUACCGGAUAGGAGCUCCUGCUGCAUGGUGGGGGUUGGAAAGUUUCGGCGGUUGGGGAUGGACUCGCGGCUUAUCAGCUUGUUGGUGAGGUAGUGGCUUACCAAGGCUUUGACGGGUAGCCGGCCUGAGAGGGUGACCGGCGACAUUGGGACUGAGAGACGGCCCAGACUGCUACGGGAGGCAGUAGUGGGAAACAUGGCACAAUGGGCGGAAGCCUGAUGCAGCAACGCCGCGUGCGGGAUAACGGCCUUCGGGUUGUAAACCGCUGUCGCAGGUGACGAGGCGGGAGUGACGGUAAUGGGUAAAGAAGCACCGGCUAACUACGUG